UACGAAGGGGGGCUAGCGUUGUUCGGAAUUACUGGGCGUAAAGCGCGCGCAGGCGGUUUCUCAAGUCAGUGGUGAAAGCCCGGAGCUCAACUCCGGAACUGCCAUUGAAACUGUGAAACUUGAGGACGAGAGAGGUGAGUGGAAUUCCCAGUGUAGAGGUGAAAUUCGUAGAUAUUGGGAAGAACACCGGUGGCGAAGGCUGGUCUCUGGGCCGAUAUUGACGCUGAGGAGCGAAAGCGUGGGGAGCAAACAGG
Molecule: ribosomal RNA, 254 nt
Filed under: uncultured bacterium
Lineage: Bacteria
Description: partial 16S ribosomal RNA
Rfam family: Bacterial small subunit ribosomal RNA
Source: RNAcentral